GCGUAAUGCUCAGUAACACGUGGACAAUCUGCCCUCGGGUGGGGAAUAAACUCGCGAAAGUGAGGCUAAUACCCCAUAGGCACAGGAGGCUGGAAUGCAUCUGUGCUCCAAAGCUCCGGCGCCCGAGGAUGAGUCUGCGGCCUAUCAGGUAGUAGUCAGGGUCAAGACCUGACUAGCCAGCGACGGGUACGGGCCUUGAGAGAGGUCGCCCGGAGAUGGACUCUGAGACACGAGUCCAGGCCCUACGGGGCGCAGCAGGCGCGAAAACUUCGCAAUGCAGGAAACUGUGACGAGGGAACUCCAAGUGUCCAUGCAUUGCAUGGACUGUUUGCCAGCCUAAAAAGCUGGUAGAGUAAGGGGUGGGAAAGACCGGUGCCAGCCGCCGCGGUAACACCGGCACCUCAAGUGGUAGCCACUAUUAUUGGGCCUAAAGCGUUCGUAGCCGG
RNAcentral lists this ribosomal RNA (446 nucleotides) under uncultured Methanoculleus sp. RNAcentral describes it as "bacterial SSU rRNA". It matches the Rfam family "Archaeal small subunit ribosomal RNA", at positions 81 to 528 of the family's 1478-position model. The record is from RNAcentral. Lineage: Archaea; Methanobacteriati; Methanobacteriota; Methanomicrobia; Methanomicrobiales; Methanomicrobiaceae.